AGAGCGAACGCUGGCGGCAGGCCUAACACAUGCAAGUCGAGCGCCCGUAGCAAUACGGGAGCGGCAGACGGGAUAGUAACACGUGGGAACGCGCCCUUCGGUUCGGAAUAACUCAGGGAAACUUGAGCUAAUACCGAAUACGCCCUUACGGGGAAAGAUUUAUUGCCGAAGGAACGGCCCGCGUCCGAUUAGCUAGUUGGUGAGGUAAUGGCUCACCAAGGCUACGAUCGGUAGCUGGUCUGAGAGGAUGACCAGCAUCACUGGAACUGAAACACGGUCCAGACUCCUACGGGAGGCAGCAGUGGGGAAUUUUGCGCAAUGGGGAAACCCUGACGCAGCAACGCCGCGUGGAGGAUGAAAUAUCUUGGUAUGUAAACUCCUUUCGAUGGGGAAGAUAAUGACGGUACCCAUAGAAGAAGCCCGGCUAACUUCGUGCCAGCAGCCGC
Molecule: ribosomal RNA, 446 nt
Filed under: uncultured bacterium
Lineage: Bacteria
Description: SSU rRNA
Rfam family: Bacterial small subunit ribosomal RNA
Source: RNAcentral